UAGAAAACACACUAACCAACCACCCAUGC
RNAcentral lists this non-coding RNA (29 nucleotides) under Mus musculus (house mouse). Lineage: Eukaryota; Metazoa; Chordata; Mammalia; Rodentia; Muridae. The record is from RNAcentral.